This 315-nucleotide ribosomal RNA is filed under the name uncultured archaeon. Its description in RNAcentral is "bacterial SSU rRNA". It matches the Rfam family "Archaeal small subunit ribosomal RNA", at positions 176 to 473 of the family's 1478-position model. The record is from RNAcentral.
UGAGUCUCCGCCCGAAAGACGCGUAAAUCAUGCUUUUAGGCGCCGCCCAAGGAUGAGGCCGCGACCGAUCAGGUAGUUGGUGAGGCAACGGCUCACCAAACCUUUAACCGGUACGGGCCGUGAGAGCGGGAGCCCGGAGAUGGGCACUGAGACAAGGGCCCAGGCCCUACGGGGCGCAGCAGUCGCGAAAACUUUGCAAUACACGAAAGUGUGACAGGGCUAUCCCGAGUGCCAUCCGCUGAGGAAGGCUUUUACCCAGUCUAGAAAGCUGGGAGAAUAAGGAGAGGGCAAGCCUGGUGUCAGCCGCCGCGGUAA